UGGGGAAUAUUGCACAAUGGGCGCAAGCCCGAUGCAGCCAUGCCGCGUGUAUGAAGAAGGCCUUCGGGUUGUAAAGUACUUUCAGCGGGGAGGAAGGCGAUAAGGUUAAUAACCUUGUCGAUUGACGUUACCCGCAGAAGAAGCACCGGCUAACUCCGUGCCAGCAGCCGCGGUAAUACGGAGGGUGCAAGCGUUAAUCGGAAUUACUGGGCGUAAAGCGCACGCAGGCGGUCUGUCAAGUCGGAUGUGAAAUCCCCGGGCUCAACCUGGGAACUGCAUUCGAAACUGGCAGGCUAGAGUCUUGUAGAGGGGGGUAGAAUUCCAGGUGUAGCGGUGAAAUGCGUAGAGAUCUGGAGGAAUACCGGUGGCGAAGGCGGCCCCCUGGACAAAGACUGACGCUCAGGUGCGAAAGCGUGGGGAGCAAACA
This 427-nucleotide ribosomal RNA is filed under the name uncultured bacterium. Its description in RNAcentral is "partial 16S ribosomal RNA". It matches the Rfam family "Bacterial small subunit ribosomal RNA", at positions 355 to 774 of the family's 1533-position model. The record is from RNAcentral.